GGGGAAUAUUGGACAAUGGGCGCAAGCCUGAUCCAGCCAUGCCGCGUGAGUGAUGAAGGCCUUAGGGUUGUAAAGCUCUUUUAGCAGGGACGAUAAUGACGGUACCUGCAGAAAAAGCCCCGGCCAACUUCGUGCCAGCAGUCGCGGUAAUACGAAGGGGGCUAGCGUUGCUCGGAAUCACUGGGCGUAAAGCGCACGUAGGUGGGUCGUUAAGUCGGGGGUGAAAUCCCAGAGCUCAACUCUGGAACUGCCUUCGAUACUGGCGACCUUCGAGUUCGGGAGAGGUGAGUGGAACUGCGAGUGUAGAGGUGAAAUUCGUAGAUAUUCGCAAGAACACCAGUGGCGAAGGCGGCUCACUGGCCCGAUACUGACACUGAGGUGCGAAAGCGUGGGGAGCAAAC
This 401-nucleotide ribosomal RNA is filed under the name uncultured bacterium. RNAcentral's name for it is "bacterial SSU rRNA". It matches the Rfam family "Bacterial small subunit ribosomal RNA", at positions 356 to 773 of the family's 1533-position model. The record is from RNAcentral.